Molecule: ribosomal RNA, 402 nt
Filed under: uncultured bacterium
Lineage: Bacteria
Description: bacterial SSU rRNA
Rfam family: Bacterial small subunit ribosomal RNA
Source: RNAcentral
UGGGGAAUAUUGGACAAUGGGGGCAACCCUGAUCCAGCCAUGCCGCGUGAGUGAUGAAGGCCUUCGGGUUGUAAAGCUCUUUUGGCGGGGACGAUGAUGACGGUACCCGCAGAAUAAGCCCCGGCUAACUUCGUGCCAGCAGCCGCGGUAAGACGAAGGGGGCAAGCGUUGUUCGGAAUUACUGGGCGUAAAGGGCGCGUAGGCGGUUUGCUUAGUCAGGCGUGAAAGCCCUGGGCUUAACCUGGGAUGUGCGCUUGAUACUGGCAGGCUUGAGGGUGGGAGAGGUCGGUGCAAUUCCCAGUGUAGAGGUGAAAUUCGUAGAUAUUGGGAAGAACACCGGUGGCGAAGGCGGCCAACUGGACCACAACUGACGCUGAGGCGCGAAAGCGUGGGGAGCAAACA